AGUAGAGUAAGCUAAAAAAGCUUUCGGGCUCAUAUUCCGGAAAUGGAGGCGAAAAUCCCCCCUCUACCA
RNAcentral lists this transfer RNA (69 nucleotides) under Holothuria forskali. Its description in RNAcentral is "transfer RNA-Met". It matches the Rfam family "tRNA". From Rfam's summary of the family: Transfer RNA (tRNA) molecules are approximately 80 nucleotides in length. Their secondary structure includes four short double-helical elements and three loops (D, anti-codon, and T loops). The record is from RNAcentral. Lineage: Eukaryota; Metazoa; Echinodermata; Holothuroidea; Aspidochirotida; Holothuriidae.